Long non-coding RNA from Trachymyrmex septentrionalis, 1968 nucleotides. RefSeq lists it as uncharacterized. The record is from RefSeq and is a predicted model, not a curated record. NCBI's taxonomy places the organism in Eukaryota, Metazoa, Arthropoda, Insecta, Hymenoptera, Formicidae. The transcript has 4 exons.
ACAGAGAAAUGUCUAAUUUUUUUAUGCAAUGAAGUUGAAGUACUGAAAUUGACGUGUGCAAAAUUCUAGGUUAACGAUGAAAUAAGAGCGAAAAAAUGUUGAAAAUGUAACUUUUCACGUAUAUAACUUAGUGACAGCUUCUAUGAAACAUGGUCGAGUUAUUAAGCGCUACCGCAAGCGACAUCGAGGUGUAAAUCCGAGGAAAGGCUGGAAGAGAUACACGAUGACACAGUGUGGGCAGGUGUUCCGAAACCCUGCAGACCCGAAGAAACAGGCAUUCUUCCGCAGGUGUCCCAACGGAUUAUUUUCCUCUUUAUCCAUAAUUAUAUAAGAAGACGAGCUACAAUUCUUCGUGUACAGAUUCCGACUCUCGACCUUUCUGCAUCUAGUCAAAAAUAUUGUCCUGGAUUGAAAACUGGCACGGAAUUUUUCUCAUUCACCUCGCAGGCACGCUAAUGAAACGCCUUUCGACCUGGGCGACCAGAACAAUUCACGAGCAACUUAAGAUGCGUGGUCGGUCUUGAAAAGGAUGCCGGACAUCCCGAGAGAACUGGCGCGACCUAGAACCCGUUGGAAUGCCCAUAUGAACUGACGGUGUCGACAAUGCGCGUCUUCGGACAGACCUAUUAUCGUUUCGAUGAUAUACGACAAAGGAAAUAUAUUGAUAUAGCGGUGAAAGGAAAGGAUGGAAUUCCCGCCUUUCAACGGGAAACGCAAUGAAACGUUUAUUGUCUGAAACUCGUUAAAGCCUCGCCAGCUCGAUCAAAGAGUGAAAUUGCAGCCGCGGUGCAUCAGCGGCAAGAAAUAAUUGGGGCAGCUCGGCGCGGUCAGCUCGACGACGAUAAAGCAGGGCAUAAUAAACAGCCCGUAACAUGCGGGUAAUUAAGUCCAAGAACGCAGUUCAAGCGUGCCCGCGAUCCAUUCCAAAUGACAAUAAGCUUUUACUACCAUGGCGGCCUCGUUCGCAUUUAUGCGCUUUAUUCCUACUGUCUGCGUGUGAAUUGCACGCGGGAUCGACAUUUUUCAUCCCCCUAAAACAAGGCGAACCGUGGCGAGUCACGAGAUAUGCUUUCGUUCACUUUGCGAACGUGAACCUCCUUCCUUUAAUCGAGGGCGCGCUUCUGCCACUCCUAGACAAUCUGUUCGCGUAAUUAAAAUUGUAUUGGUGCCGCCUAGAUUAACAACUGCAAUGGUUUUUUUUUUUUAUUACGGUUUAGAGGCAAAUGUGCAUUUAAGCUCCAAGUUUUCACUUUUUUGAUUAGCGAAAGACAUUAUAAAGCAAAAAUUUCGUUCCAUUUCACGAUCAGCGACUUUUAUCGAACAAUCUCCAAGCUCGAGAAUCUUCGGAUUAUCGAGAGGAAGCGAGCAAUAAAAGACGGGAGAAGAAGGCACGAUAAAACGCAACAAGACGCAUUGCGUGGAUAUCUUGUUCCUUUACACAGAAGAAUCAACGGGAAGAUUCCAUUAUCUGAUUGCAUCGUGCGCGGGAGCGUCGAUGUGUUUUUUUUUUUUAUACAGAAUGAUGUACUUCAAAGUCUUACCGACAAAUUCCACGCUGGGUGCCGAACACAUUGCAGGAUCGGGAAUACACGAGCAAGCGAGCAUCCUGCGUCUCUGAAAGAUAAUUACUUCUUCGUCUCUCCUCCCCGUACACGCUUUGACUGGUAGUAAUAAUAAAUUCCUGACCACGUGGAUAAACGAAAGGCCGACUCUGUCAACGCGCGCAGACGAUGCGGCUCUGCACUUGAGCCUGUUUAAACGAUCUGCGACGCGUGAUACACUUGGAACGUGUUGUCACGUCGUGAUAAUCAUCGUAUUUAUAAAGCAAGCAUUAAAUCCAGCGCACGGAAAUUAUUCCACUCCUUCUCAAUAAUUCAAUCAAAAAAUAAUAAUUUCGAACACUCGCUAUUCAUAGAACGCAUAGAGAUAAACGUAAUUUUGUACUUCUGGCAAAGUAAAUUAAAAUAU